GGGCGUAUGGUCUAGUGGUACGACGUCUCAGUUACAAAAAAUGUUCGUUGUCUUGAAACUGUUAGAAUGAUGUAACAGAUGAAAGAGUUCGAAUAAUACAAUGCUCCGUGAGAAGGUCCCGGGUUCAAACCCCAGCACGUCUA
This is a non-coding RNA of Triangularia setosa, 143 nucleotides long. Lineage: Eukaryota; Fungi; Ascomycota; Sordariomycetes; Sordariales; Podosporaceae. The record is from the annotation of a GenBank genome assembly.